This 25-nucleotide non-coding RNA is filed under the name Cricetulus griseus (Chinese hamster). The record is from RNAcentral. Lineage: Eukaryota; Metazoa; Chordata; Mammalia; Rodentia; Cricetidae.
CAGGGUAUCUGGAUACAGGUUGGUG